AGAGUUUGAUUCUGGCUCAGAACGUACGCUGGCGGCACGCCUAACACAUGCAAGUCGAACGAAGUAGCAAUACUUAGUGGCAGACGGGUGAGUAACAUGUAGGUAUCUGCCCUUUGGCCUGGAAUAACACGAGGAAACUUGUGCUAAUACCGGAUAAGUCUUUACGGAGAAAGCUUUAUGCACCAUUGGAUGAGCCUGCACUUGAUUAGUUUGUUGGUGGGGUAAUGGCCUACCAAGACUGUGAUCAAUAGCUGAUUUGAGAGGAUGAUCAGCCACAUUGGGACUGAGACACGGCCCAAACUCCUACGGGAGGCAGCAGUGGGGAAUCUUGCACAAUGGAGGAAACUCUGAUGCAGCGAUGCCGCGUGAGUGAAGAAGGCCCUUGGGUUGUAAAGCUCUUUCAUCGGGGAAGAAAAUGACUGUACCCGAAUAAGAAGGUCCGGCUAACUUCGUGCCAGCAGCCGCGGUAAUACGAAGGGACCUAGCGUAGUUCGGAAUUACUGGGCUUAAAGAGUUCGUAGGUGGUUGAAAAAGUUGGUGGUGAAAUCCCAGAGCUUAACUCUGGAACUGCCAUCAAAACUUUUCAGCUAGAGUUUGAUAGAGGAGAGCAGAAUUUCUAGUGUAGAGGUGAAAUUCGUAGAUAUUAGAAAGAAUACCAAUUGCGAAGGCAGCUUUCUGGAUCAUUACUGACACUGAGGAACGAAAGCAUGGGUAGCGAAGAGGAUUAGAUACCCUCGUAGUCCAUGCCGUAAACGAUGUGUGUUAGACGUUGGAAAUUUAUUUUCAGUGUCGCAGCGAAAGCGAUAAACACACCGCCUGGGGAGUACGACCGCAAGGUUAAAACUCAAAUGAAUUGACGGGGACCCGCACAAGUAGUGGAGCAUGUGGUUUAAUUCGAAGAUACGCGCAGAACCUUACCAACACUUGACAUGUUCGUCGCGACUUUAAGAGAUUAAAGUUUUCGGUUCGGCCGGACGAAACACAGGUGCUGCAUGGCUGUCGUCAGCUCGUGUCGUGAGAUGUUGGGUUAAGUCCCGCAACGAGCGCAACCCUCACUUUUAGUUGCCAUCAUUUAGUUGGGCACUCUGAAAGAACUGCCAGUGAUAAGCUGGAGGAAGGUGGGGAUGACGUCAAGUCCUCAUGGCCCUUACGUGUUGGGCUACACACGUGCUACAAUGGUAUUUACAACAGGAAGCAAGACGGCGACGUCAAGCAAAUCCUUAAAAGAUACCUCAGUUCGGAUUGCACUCUGCAACUCGAGUGCAUGAAGCUGGAAUUACUAGUAAUCGUGGAUCAGCGUGCCACGGUGUAUGCGUUCCCGGGUCUUGUACACACCGCCCGUCACACCAUGGGAGUUGGUUCUACCUUAAGGCAAGGUUUAAUACCCUUGACCACGGUAUAGUCAGCGACUGGGGUGAAGUCGUAACAAGGUAGCCAAGGG
This 1441-nucleotide ribosomal RNA is filed under the name uncultured Candidatus Pelagibacter sp. Its description in RNAcentral is "bacterial SSU rRNA". It matches the Rfam family "Bacterial small subunit ribosomal RNA". Lineage: Bacteria; Pseudomonadati; Pseudomonadota; Alphaproteobacteria; Candidatus Pelagibacterales; Candidatus Pelagibacteraceae. The record is from RNAcentral.